This 24-nucleotide non-coding RNA is filed under the name Arabidopsis thaliana (thale cress). Lineage: Eukaryota; Viridiplantae; Streptophyta; Magnoliopsida; Brassicales; Brassicaceae. The record is from RNAcentral.
GUCCAAUUUACCCUUUUUAACUGC